UGGGGAAUAUUGGGCAAUGGGCGCAAGCCUGAUGCAGCAACGCCGCGUGAACGAUGAAGGUCUUCGGAUCGUAAAGUUCUGUUGCAGGGGAAGAUAAUGACGGUACCCUGUGAGGAAGCCCCGGCUAACUACGUGCCAGCAGCCGCGGUAAUACGUAGGGGGCUAGCGUUAUCCGGAUUUACUGGGCGUAAAGGGUGCGUAGGUGGUCUUUCAAGUCGGUGGUUAAAGGCUACGGCUCAACCGUAGUUAGCCUCCGAAACUGGAAGACUUGAGUGCAGGAGAGGAAAGUGGAAUUCCCAGUGUAGCGGUGAAAUGCGUAGAUAUUGGGAGGAACACCAGUAGCGAAGGCGGCUUUCUGGACUGCAACUGACACUGAGGCACGAAAGCGUGGGUAGCAAACAGG
Molecule: ribosomal RNA, 403 nt
Filed under: Verrucomicrobiota bacterium
Lineage: Bacteria; Pseudomonadati; Verrucomicrobiota
Description: Verrucomicrobia bacterium partial 16S ribosomal RNA
Rfam family: Bacterial small subunit ribosomal RNA
Source: RNAcentral